Molecule: ribosomal RNA, 398 nt
Filed under: uncultured bacterium
Lineage: Bacteria
Description: partial 16S ribosomal RNA
Rfam family: Bacterial small subunit ribosomal RNA
Source: RNAcentral
AAUAUUGCACAAUGGAGGAAACUCUGAUGCAGCGACGCCGCGUGAGUGAAGAAGGUCUUCGGAUCGUAAAACUCUGUCCUUGGUGAAGAUAAUGACGGUAGCCAAGGAGGAAGCCCCGGCUAACUACGUGCCAGCAGCCGCGGUAAUACGUAGGGGGCGAGCGUUGUCCGGAUUUACUGGGCGUAAAGGGUGAGUAGGCGGUUGCAUUUGUCAGAUGUAAAAGGCACAGGCUUAACUUGUGUUAACAUCUGAAACAGUGCGACUUGAGUGCAGGAGAGGUAAGUGGAAUUCCUAGUGUAGCGGUGAAAUGCGUAGAUAUUAGGAGGAACACCAGUGGCGAAGGCGACUUACUGGACUGUAACUGACGCUGAGUCACGAAAGCGUGGGUAGCAAACAGG